UACGUAGGGUGCGAGCGUUAAUCGGAAUUACUGGGCGUAAAGCGUGCGUAGGCGGUUGCACAAGCUCGAUGUGAAAGCCCCGGGCUUAACCUGGGAAUGGCAUUGAGGACUGUGUGGCUUGAGUGCGGCAGAGGGAGGUGGAAUUCCAGGUGUAGCAGUGAAAUGCGUAGAGAUCUGGAGGAACACCGAUGGCGAAGGCAGCCUCCUGGGCCGACACUGACGCUGAGGGCACGAAAGCGUGGGGAGCAAACGGG
Molecule: ribosomal RNA, 254 nt
Filed under: uncultured bacterium
Lineage: Bacteria
Description: partial 16S ribosomal RNA
Rfam family: Bacterial small subunit ribosomal RNA
Source: RNAcentral